RNAcentral lists this ribosomal RNA (405 nucleotides) under uncultured bacterium. Its description in RNAcentral is "bacterial SSU rRNA". It matches the Rfam family "Bacterial small subunit ribosomal RNA", at positions 362 to 758 of the family's 1533-position model. The record is from RNAcentral.
UUUUGGACAAUGGGGGAAACCCUGAUCCAGCCAUUCCGCGUGUGCGAUGAAGGCCUUCGGGUUGUAAAGCACUUUUGGCAGGCCAGACAUCGCACGUGUUAAUAACGCGUGUGGAUGACGGUACCUGCAGAAUAAGCACCGGCUAACUACGUGCCAGCAGCCGCGGUAAUACGUAGGGUGCAAGCGUUAAUCGGAAUUACUGGGCGUAAAGCGUGCGCAGGCGGUUCGGAAAGAAGGAUGUGAAAUCCCAGGGCUUAACCUUGGAACUGCAUUCUUAACUACCGGGCUAGAGUAUGUCAGAGGGAGGUGGAAUUCCGCGUGUAGCAGUGAAAUGCGUAGAUAUGCGGAGGAACACCGAUGGCGAAGGCAGCCUCCUGGGAGUGAUACUGACGCUCAUGCACGAAA